UGGGGUGUGGCUCAGUGGUAGAGUGCUUGCCUCGAAUGCAGGAGGCACUAGGUUUGAGCCUCAGCACCACAU
Molecule: non-coding RNA, 72 nt
Organism: Ictidomys tridecemlineatus (thirteen-lined ground squirrel)
Lineage: Eukaryota; Metazoa; Chordata; Mammalia; Rodentia; Sciuridae
Source: Rfam